ANNUGGGNCGANUAGCCAUGCGAGUCGAGAGGGUUCGGCCCUCGGCGAACUGCUCAGUAACACGUGNGANAAUCUAACCUUAGGUGGAGCAUAACCUCGGGAAACUGAGAAUAAUACUCCAUAGAUCUUUGAGGCUGGAAUGCGCUUAGAUUGAAAGCUUCGGCGCCUAAGGAUGAGUCUGCGGACUAUCAGGUAGUAGUCAGGGUAAAGACCUGACUAGCCUACGACGGAUACGGGUUGUGAGAGCAAUAACCCGGAGAUGAUAUCUGAGACACGAUAUCAGGCCCUACGGGGCGCAGCAGGCGCGAAAACUUCACAAUGCGCGAAAGCGCGAUGAGGGGAUCCCAAGUGCUUGCACGUAAGUGUAAGCUGUUUUUCUGUCUAAAAAGCAGAGAGAGUAAGGGCUGGGUAGGACGGGUGCCAGCCGCCGCGGUAAUACCUGCAGCUCAAGUGGUGGCCGCUAUUAUUGGGCCUAAAACGUCCGUAGCCGGCUGAGUAAAUGCCUGGGUAAAUCGUGUGGCUUAACCAUACGAAUUCCGGGUAGACUGCUCAGCUUGGGACCGGAAGAAGUUAGAGGUACUCCUGGGGUAGGGGUGAAAUCCUGUAAUCCUGGGGGGACCACCAGUGGCGAAGGCGUCUAACUAGGACGGGUCUGACGGUGAGAGACGAAGCCCUGGGGCGCAAACCGGAUUAGAUACCCGGGUAGUCCAGGGUGUAAACGCUGCUUGCUUGAUGUUAGCUGGGCUCCGAGCUCGGCUAGUGUCGGAGAGAAGUUGUUAAGCAAGCUGCCUGGGAAGUACGGUCGCAAGACUGAAACUUAAAGGAAUUGGCGGGGGGAGCA
This 841-nucleotide ribosomal RNA is filed under the name uncultured archaeon. RNAcentral's name for it is "bacterial SSU rRNA". It matches the Rfam family "Archaeal small subunit ribosomal RNA", at positions 31 to 878 of the family's 1478-position model. The record is from RNAcentral.